GGGGAAUUUUUCGCAAUGGGGGCAACCCUGACGAAGUAACGCCGCGUGGGUGAUGAAGUAUCUCGGUACGUAAAACCCUUUCGACGGGGAAGAAAACCGCAAGGUUUGACGGUACCCGUAGAAGAAGCCCCGGCUAACUCCGUGCCAGCAGCCGCGGUAAUACGGGGGGGGCAAGCGUUGUUCGGAAUUACUGGGCGUAAAGGGCGCGUAGGCGGUUUGCUAAGUUGAAUGUGAAAACUCUGGGCUUAACCCAGAGCCUGCAUUCAAUACUGGCAGGCUAGAGUUCUGGAGGGGAUAGCGGAAUUCCUGGUGUAGCGGUGAAAUGCGUAGAUAUCAGGAGGAACACCGGUGGCGAAGGCGGCUAUCUGGACAGAGUCUGACGCUGAGGCGCGAAAGCUAGGGGAGCAAAC
RNAcentral lists this ribosomal RNA (410 nucleotides) under uncultured bacterium. RNAcentral's name for it is "bacterial SSU rRNA". It matches the Rfam family "Bacterial small subunit ribosomal RNA", at positions 356 to 773 of the family's 1533-position model. The record is from RNAcentral.